AUUGAACGCUGGCGGCAUGCCUUACACAUGCAAGUCGAACGGCAGCACGGGUGCUUGCACCUGGUGGCGAGUGGCGAACGGGUGAGUAAUACAUCGGAACAUGUCCUGUAGUGGGGGAUAGCCCGGCGAAAGCCGGAUUAAUACCGCAUACGAUCUACGGAUGAAAGCGGGGGACCUUCGGGCCUCGCGCUAUAGGGUUGGUCGAUGGCUGAUUAGCUAGUUGGUGGGGUAAAGGCCUACCAAGGCGACGAUCAGUAGCUGGUCUGAGAGGACGACCAGCCACACUGGGACUGAGACACGGCCCAGACUCCUACGGGAGGCAGCAGUGGGGAAUUUUGGACAAUGGGCGAAAGCCUGAUCCAGCAAUGCCGCGUGUGUGAAGAAGGCCUUCGGGUUGUAAAGCACUUUUGUCCGGAAAGAAAUCCUUGGCCCUAAUACGGUCGGGGGAUGACGGUACCGGAAGAAUAAGCACCGGCUAACUACGUG
RNAcentral lists this ribosomal RNA (486 nucleotides) under uncultured bacterium. RNAcentral's name for it is "partial 16S ribosomal RNA". It matches the Rfam family "Bacterial small subunit ribosomal RNA", at positions 30 to 507 of the family's 1533-position model. The record is from RNAcentral.